Molecule: ribosomal RNA, 276 nt
Filed under: uncultured prokaryote
Description: partial 16S ribosomal RNA
Rfam family: Bacterial small subunit ribosomal RNA
Source: RNAcentral
UACGUAGGGGCUAGCGUUAUCCGGAAUUACUGGGCGUAAAGGGUGCGUAGGCGGUCUUUCAAGCCAGAAGUGAAAGGCUACGGCUCAACCGUAGUAAGCCUUUGAAACUGGGAAACUUGAGUGCAGGAGAGGAGAGUGGAAUUCCUAGUGUAGCGGUGAAAUGCGUAGAUAUUAGGAGGAACACCAGUUGCGAGGGCGGCCCUCUGGACUGUAACUGACACUGAGGCACGAAAGCGUGGGGAGCAAACAGGAUUAGAUACCCGUGUAGUCCCUGAG